CACAUGCAAGUCGAGCGGUAACAGCGGGAGCUUGCUCCCGGCUGACGAGCGGCGGACGGGUGAGUAACGCGUGGGAAUCUGCCUUGUAGUGGGGGAUAGCCCGGAGAAAUCCGGAUUAAUACCGCAUACGCCCUACGGGGGAAAGCUGGGGAUCUUCGGACCUGGCGCUAUUAGAGGAGCCCGCGUUAGAUUAGCUAGUUGGUGGGGUAAUGGCUCACCAAGGCGACGAUCUAUAGCUGGUCUGAGAGGACGAUCAGCCACACUGGGACUGAGACACGGCCCAGACUCCUACGGGAGGCAGCAGUGGGGAAUAUUGCACAAUGGGCGAAAGCCUGAUGCAGCAAUACCGCGUGUGUGAAGAAGGCCUGCGGGUUGUAAAGCACUUUCAAUCGUGAAGAAAAGUUGCGGGUUAAUACCCCGUGACCUUGACGUUAGCGAUACAAGAAGCACCGGCUAACUCCGUGCCAGCAGCCGCGGUAAUACGGAGGGUGCGAGCGUUAAUCGGAAUUACUGGGCGUAAAGCGUACGUAGGCGGUCUGUUAAGUCAGAUGUGAAAGCCCCGGGCUUAACCUGGGAACUGCAUUUGAUACUGGCAGGCUAGAGUAUGGUA
Molecule: ribosomal RNA, 610 nt
Filed under: uncultured bacterium
Lineage: Bacteria
Description: bacterial SSU rRNA
Rfam family: Bacterial small subunit ribosomal RNA
Source: RNAcentral